RNAcentral lists this ribosomal RNA (503 nucleotides) under uncultured bacterium. Its description in RNAcentral is "bacterial SSU rRNA". It matches the Rfam family "Bacterial small subunit ribosomal RNA", at positions 28 to 523 of the family's 1533-position model. The record is from RNAcentral.
GACGAACGCUGGCGGCGUGGAUUAGGCAUGCAAGUCGAACGGUAUCAUCCUUUCGGGGGUGAGAGAGUGGCGAACUGGUGAGUAACACGUAGGUUAUCUACCCUCAAGACGGGGACAACCCAGGGAAACUUGGGCUAAUACCGGAUGUGAGCAACUUUUAGUUGUUUGAAAGGUGGCGUAAGCUGUCGCUUGGGGAUGAGCCUGCGUCCUAUUAGUCAGUUGGUGAGGUAACGGCUCACCUAGGCAAUGAUAGGUAGGCGGCCUUAACGGGUGGUCGCCCACACUGGGAUUGAGAUACGGCCCAGACUCCUACGGGAGGCAGCAGUCGAGAAUAGUCUACAAUGGUCGGAAGACUGAUAGUGCGACGCCGCGUGAACGAUGAAUCCCUUCGGGGUGUAAAGUUCUUUUAUAUGUGAGCAGUGCUUCUUAUAUUAACAGUAUGGGGAGAGAGAUAUUAGCAUAUGAAUAAGCAACGGCUAACUCCGUGCCAGCAGCCGCGGUAA